CUCCAAUGUGGGCUCCCCCUGGCUGAUUUUGUGUCUGUCAUGCCAUCUUCAUAGCUUACUUGAAUUAGAAUUAUCCUUGAUAACAAUGAAAGCUUUGAUUAGUGAGUGCAUGAAUGUGAGUGGUUUAUUAACAUUGGCCCUCAUCUGCCCCACACCCACAAGAGCAUUUCAGGAGGUUCCUGUGAAAAACCUACAUGCACACACCCCCACGUGCAGCUGCAGACUGCUAUCUAUACACGAAGUUAUGCAUCGCAGAGUCGACUGCAAAAGGCUGGAGCCCACACAGCGUCUAUCAAUAGGGAACGGGUUAAAUCGACCACAAGAUUUCCAUAUGACGAUGGAACACUUUCCAGCCAAGAAAGGAGGAGGAAGUCCUCACUGCUCUGAUACGGAACAGUCACCAAGACAUAUUUUAAGUAAAAAAAAGGCAGCAUGCAUAACCAGGGAAAUGAAAACUAAAACCACAGUGAGUUACAAUUUCACACAGAUCCAUCUACAAAAAAAAAAAAGCUGAUAAUUGCAGGUGUUGGUGAAGAAGUGGAGUGAGGGGAAUGCUCAAACUACUAGUGGGUGUGCGAAUGGUUAUAACCACUUUUUAAAAUUUUGGCAUUAUCUACUGAAGUUGACAAUGUACUUUCCCAAUGGCCUUGCAAAUGCCCUGGAGAAGUUCUUACCCAACCCCCGCCAUUCCCCCCAACACACACCAAAAGAAACAAUUAAGAACAUUUGCACCAGCUCUGUUCCUAGAACCCCAAAACUGAGGCCAGCACUGAGGCCAAGCACAGUGGCUCAUGCCUGUAAUCCCAGCAGGCAUGAGCCACCCUUUGGGAGCCUGAGGCCGGAGGAUUAUUGAGGUUGAGAGUUCAAGACCAGCCUGGGCAACAUAGUGAGACCUUGUCUCUAUAAAAGAAGUUUUAAAAAUUAGCCAGGUGUGAUGGCUCAUGCUUGUAGUCCCAGCUAAUUGGGAGGCUGAGGUAGGAGGAUCGUUUCUUGAGCCCUGGAGGUUGAGGCUGCAGUGAGCCAUGAUUGCACCACUGCACUCCAGCCUGGGCAACAGAAUGAGACCCUGUCUCAAAAAAUAAAAUUAAAUUAGAAAACAAUAAUAAUUAUUAUUAAUAAAUAAAAUAGUCCAAUGAAAAUAAUCAUACUAUCUCCAUGCAAUGGAAUUCUAUACAAGAGUGAAAAUGAACUAACUCCGGACAUGCGUAUCAGUACACUGAACUUCAGAACUAUAAUUAUGGGUGGGACAAAAGCCAGCCAUAGAAAACUAUUCUAUUCAUAAUCCCAAAAAGGUAGUAUACCAUAUUCAAUUAUUAUAUAUAUUUAUGUCUUGUUAUAUAUAAUGUUUAUUACAUUUAUCUUAGUAUAAAAAUAUAGUAUAUUUAUCAUAAUCUAUUAUAAACAAGUAGUAGGAUUAUAAAAAGACAAAAAGGGCAGGAUAAGCGUAAAAUUCAUGAUAGUAUUUAGGGGAAGAGGAGGGUGGGGCUGGAGAGAGGCACAUGGUUUCAAAAGCCCAGCUUCUUUGUCUAAAACAGGGCGUGGGUACCCAUACUGGUCUAUUGUAUUGUGGGUGUCUUUAAAAUGUAUAUAUAUUCUAUAACUACUAUUUUUGUAUCUACUCAAUAUUUAAUUUUAAAAUUUUAAAUGAGGCCUAGAACACUAUAAAAAGUAUGCUACCAUUUGUAUAGAAAAAGUGGACACACACAUCACUCAUGUGCAUAGAUUAAAGUGUCUCUGGAAACUUACACAUGCAACUGGUGAAACUGGUUUCCUCUGGGGAGGAGAACUGGG
This 1791-nucleotide long non-coding RNA is filed under the name Homo sapiens (human). RNAcentral's name for it is "HSALNT0334043". The record is from RNAcentral. Lineage: Eukaryota; Metazoa; Chordata; Mammalia; Primates; Hominidae.